AUACGUAGGGGGCGAGCGUUGUCCGGAAUUACUGGGCGUAAAGGGUGCGUAGGUGGCACUUUAAGUUGGAUGUGAAAUCCCCGUGCUUAACAUGGGAGCUGCAUCCAAUACUGGAGAGCUAGAGUGCAGGAGAGGUAAGCGGAAUUCCUAGUGUAGCGGUGAAAUGCGUAGAUAUUAGGAGGAACACCAGUGGCGAAGGCGGCUUACUGGACUGUAACUGACACUGAGGCACGAAAGCGUGGGGAGCAAACAGGAUUAGAUACCCUGGUAGUCCACGCUGUAAACGAUGAAUACUAGGUGUAGGGGGUAUCGACUCCCUCUGUGCCGCAGUUAACACAAUAAGUAUUCCGCCUGGGGAGUACGGCCGCAAGGUUGAAACUUAAAGGAAUUGGCGGGG
This 397-nucleotide ribosomal RNA is filed under the name uncultured bacterium. Its description in RNAcentral is "partial 16S ribosomal RNA". It matches the Rfam family "Bacterial small subunit ribosomal RNA", at positions 523 to 918 of the family's 1533-position model. The record is from RNAcentral.